Humulus lupulus (European hop) is the source of this 1024-nucleotide long non-coding RNA. RefSeq lists it as uncharacterized. NCBI's taxonomy places the organism in Eukaryota, Viridiplantae, Streptophyta, Magnoliopsida, Rosales, Cannabaceae. The transcript is spliced from 3 exons. The record is from RefSeq and is a predicted model, not a curated record.
AGUUUGGUGAUUAAAACUUAAUAAGAGUGAAAAAUGUGUCAAAAGCCAAUUUGGACUUUUCUUCUUAUGAAACCUUUUUUAACCUUUAUUAAAAAAAAAAAAAUGAAAUGAUUAUAUAUAUCAAGGGUUGGCCGGCCAUGUGGUGUUUUAGGUGGUGUGAACCCAACUUAAUAAAGAUAAAUCUCAUUUUAACUAAGUCAAGUCAAGUGGGCAAGUGGGAGGAAAACACUUGAGUGUUUUUGAGAUAAAUUAGAUAGUAUAUAACUCUUCCAUCCCUCCCCAACCGACCACACCACCCUCUCUCAUUCACUCAUCUGAUUUUUUUAGACCAUUCAAAGUGUUCUCUCAAUAUUCAACCUCAAGAACACCAAGGAAAACUUGGAGGCUAAGUCUUGGUCUAGGAAGUAUUUUCCCUAAGUUGGUUAGGGUUUUUGAAAGGUAUUGGAGGAGCCAAAGCUAAUAGGAAGGUCCAAACCUUAAGCAAGAACACCAAAGAGUAUUGGCUAAGCGUAACUGGACUGAACGUUGGAGGGUGAAAACCUGCUGAGCGCUAAGGACUCCAAGUAAGUCAACUUAUAUUGUAUGGCUGCAACAUGAAAUGAUUAUUGUCUUGUAUGUUAGUAUAGGGAUACAUGCAUAUAUAUAGGCUGUCAUAGAAGGUUGCUUAGAGACGUUAGUCUAGUGAGUGCUGAUUUAGAAAAUAUGAACGGUAGAAGUCCGUCAUAUCCUAGACGGUUGAUCCCCGUCACACUGCUUGAUUUUAUUUAUGUCCGGUUCAUUACCGCGACGAGUGGCCAUGAGAUGAGGAUAAGCUGGUUAAACCUAGGGGCGCCAAGAUAAAUGGGACCUAGGGGCCCUCAUGCUUACUUAAUCAUUGGACGGUUAGAAUCCGAGCAAGUGCUCUGAUAAGUUAUUCCCGGAUAGCAGCCGUGAAUAUUGGCCAUUCCGUGAGAGUGCCUAGAGAUACUAGGGGUUGCCAAGUUUGAGUGAGGUUGAACACCCUAGGGGCAGCUGCUCACCAGCA